Molecule: ribosomal RNA, 274 nt
Filed under: uncultured bacterium
Lineage: Bacteria
Description: partial 16S ribosomal RNA
Rfam family: Bacterial small subunit ribosomal RNA
Source: RNAcentral
AUACGGAGGGUGCAAGCGUUACUCGGAAUUACUGGGCGUAAAGGACGCGUAGGCGGUUUUUAAAGUCAGAUGUGAAAGCCUAUGGCUUAACCAUAGAACUGCAUUUGAAACUUCUAAACUAGAGUGAGGGAGAGGUCAGUGGAAUUAGUGGUGUAGGGGUAAAAUCCGUAGAGAUCACUAGGAAUACUCAUAGCGAAGGCGACUGACUGGAACUUUACUGACGCUGAGGCGUGAAAGCGUGGGGAGCAAACAGGAUUAGAAACCCCGGUAGUCC